GACGAAGGGGGCUAGCGUUGCUCGGAAUUACUGGGCGGAAAGGGCUCGUAGGCGGCCAACUAAGUCAGACGUGAAAUCCCUCGGCUUAACCGGGGAACUGCGUCUGAUACUGGAUGGCUUGAGUUUGGGAGAGGGAUGCGGAAUUCCAGGUGUAGCGGUGAAAUGCGUAGAUAUCUGGAGGAACACCGGUGGCGAAGGCGGCAUCCUGGACCAACACUGACGCUGAGUGAGCGAAAGCCAGGGGAGCAAACGGG
RNAcentral lists this ribosomal RNA (254 nucleotides) under uncultured bacterium. RNAcentral's name for it is "partial 16S ribosomal RNA". It matches the Rfam family "Bacterial small subunit ribosomal RNA", at positions 524 to 776 of the family's 1533-position model. The record is from RNAcentral.